GGACCCGAUAGUGAGAGGAAGGCAGGUCCGCUCGUUCGGUCGUUUCCUUCUCCUGUCCACUGACCAGAGGUAAAAACCUAAAUCGAAGGCGCUCCCCCAAUCCUCGCAUCCCUCCUCGCUCCCCAAUCCCCGCUCCUUCUUUGCUCCCCGGAUCCCCGGCGACCUCUCUCUCCCUCUCCCCAACGAUGGUGCACCGCCGCUCCCCGAGAUGGAGCCGGACGGGCUCGGCCGCUAUGGCAGGCCGGAGGAGGCGACGCAGGUGGGCGGCGGCGCGCCGCCUUGAGAAAAUCGUCCACAACUCGGGGGCUCGAGAUCUCCGUUCAAGGGCAUGCCUAGAUGUGAUGGGAGCCUUGAAAGAGGGGGUGAUUUGGAGGAGGAGGAGAGGUGGAGGUGCAGUGGAGGCGGGGGAUGGAGGUGGCUGGAGGCGGUACCUCUACUGCCGCCGCCGCUCUUCAAUGUGCCGGUGACGCCGGUGGCGACCAAGCAACAGGACGACGACGACGAGGAAAGUCGGAGGUGCCUAUUUGUUUCCAGUUUUCCUAAUAGUGAAUUUAGCCUUGGUAUCUCCUUUUGAUGUGUUGACACAUUCACUCCGUGGGUUAGCUAGCAGAGCCUCUUUUCCUUCUACAUGAUAGUGUUGAUUUCUCUGAACAGUGAACAAUGGUUGGACAUAGAUUAGUCAUAACAAGCAGAAGUAUGGCUGCAAUUGUCCAUGAAGCACUCCAGCUCCUGUCACCUUGUUGAAGUGCCUGCACAAGAUCUGGACAUGCUCUCAUAUUGCCCCAGGUUAUACUGAUGGGUCAUCGUGGAGAUUAUGACUAGGCUGCUGAUGGGCAACUUCAUCGUGAACAAAGACUCUGGGACGGGGAAAUUUAGGGGACUGCUCCAGGUGUUGAUUCUGCAAGACAGCAAGCCACCUUAUUAGUGCCAGUCACUUGCUAUGUAUUGCGAACUGUGCGGUUAAGAAAAUGUAUGGCUCCGACAGGCGACAGUUCCCUUGGGAAUUAGUAUUCUGCAGACUGCAUGUAUUGCUCCUCUAGGUUAAGAAAUUUGUGCUACCACUCUGUUGCCAAUGGAGGCAUAGAUUUAUCCUAGCUCGUUACUGUCAUCGGCAUUAUUUGUUUUGUACAACACCUAUUCGAUAAAAUUCCAGUGAGAAAAAAUCAAGUGGAUGCAAGGUGGUGAGAGAGUGUCAGCAGCGGCUCGAGCGAAAUCGAGCGUGCGGCAGCUCGAGCGCCAUUGAGCACGCCGCAGCACCCUUUCUGCGGAAGUGCCAUUCAAGACUAGGUGCAGCUUCGGAAGUUGCGCACGUAUCGAGUGACUACGAGCAUGGCCGAGAGACGAUUGGUAACUUGCAGAUUAUGAGCACGCCCGAGGGUUGAAGCUUGCUAUUUACAGUGAUGUUGGGUAUGCCAAACACUAAUCUGUUCUCAUUCUGUUGCAACUAAACUCUGCAUACUUCUAUGUGAUUACUUGAGAAUACUGUUUCUAUGACAUGUCUGGCUUGCUGCUGCUGCCGAGCAAAAUCAAUGGCUUCUUCAGUUAAACAAGAUUAUGUUCUCAGGAGCAGAUCUUGGCAACUGAUGCAGAAGUUCCUACAGCUUGGUAAUAUUUUUUUGUUGGGAUGAAUUGACUCGGAAGGAAAAUCAAGCUCUUUUGACAUUUGUUGAGACUAAAGCCUAUGCAUUUACCAGUGAUUUUGUACAUACUUAUACUUAUAUUGUUUACUAAACUUUCUAUAUAUGUAUUUUGGUAAUGCAUAUAUAAAAUCUUGAACCGAUUUUUUGGGAUUAAUUAGAUAGAUGCCACUGCAAUUUUUGGCUAUUUGAGAAACACCACUACAACUUUCGUCUUUUGAAAAAUGCCACUACAAUUUUAUAUACAUUCCAUAAAAGCCAUUACGUCCAUUUAAACACUUAUACCGGCUAAUAUACACUUGUAUUUUUAGCUUAGAUAUGUAUACAUGGUGGGCUGCACCUGAAAAAGCAUAGGAAGGUAACAGUAAAAUUAAAAAAUAAAUGGAUAAAAUUUUGACAGAAUAAAAUUGAACAAAAUAAUAUUUAGUCUUAAAUAUGUACGUUGAAGAUCUAAGUUCAACAUCUCAUACAUUAAAUCUCAUACAUGUUCUCAUCGUCAAAAUGUAAUACAUUUCUUUUCAUUAUCAAUUUGGUCAGCUAAAUCAUAUUUGGAUUAGCGGCCAGCAUCUACAUCAUUUGUUUUUAUCCUAGGCAUAUAAGUUAUUAUGCUAGCUUAAAACUAGCAACCUGAGAUGCGGAAACUCAAAUCGGUUGAGCAAGCUCCGGUUACACAUACCAAGAAUAGACAAGAAAUACAGUCAAUUACGGGAGGAGCUGGCUACCCCCCGGUGUUCUACCAAGAAUAGACACUGGUGUUUUAGAGUUCCGGUCUGAACUGCCCACGAUACAUGAGAGUGAGAUGCGAAUCUUCAUUUUUGUUUCGGGUGGACCUUGCCACCGUGUCCCAGCAUCAAGCUAAAGUGAAUAGGCCCCACCCUUAUACUUAUUUUGGACAAAAUACAAGUAUAUUUUGGUCAGUAUGUGUGAUUAAAUAGACAUAAUGUUGUCUGUAGAACGUACAGAGAAUUGUAGUGGUGUUUUCAAAAGACGAAAAUUGUAGUGGCGUUUCUCAAAUAGUUGGAAAUUGCAAUGGCCAUCUAUCUAAUUAACCCUUUUUUUUGUCUUGAAGUAGAUACAUUUUUUCUUGGAAUUAGUAAUUUUCUUUUUAUGCUUUUUUUAUUGUGCUACCUCUUUCGAUACAAUAAGCAUAAUUUAGUGGAGGAGCUUAUACAAAAGCAUAAAAGCUAAAAAAAAUAGUGUGAAAUCGCAAUAAAUUGUGAAUGCAAGAUAGUAAAGCAGUUAAAUUCCGAGCUAAUUUUUAAUACUAAAAUAAGUUAAAACUUAUGGUUUAAAUUCUAACUUGAUAACGUCAUUUGCGCGAUAGCGCAACGGGUCAUCAAUACAGUGGAAGAUCAUAAAGUGAGAAAAUAAUUAUCGCAAUGGACGGCUGUUGUGAAAAGCGGGGCUAGAACUUACUGUGCCUACGGGAUUGGACGACCCAGAUCAAUGUGCCCCUUUGGAUGGCCUGGUUGGCCGAGUAGUGUAAUUUUUUAGAUAUUGGUAAUCUGAAAUCCUCUUUCAUAUGUUGACGUGUUGCAACAAUAGUAUUGCCGCAUAGAGUUUCAUGAGUGACAUUGGCAUGUGUGGUUAUUUGAAGAGAUGGAUUUUCCUAGGUGGCAUAUAAGGAGUAUUUUAGAGUCAAAUAAGCUGACCGCGAAUUGUAUCUUUUUGCAUUCAGAUUUGUAUUGAGUAACAGUCCCUGAAAGCAUUAAUAUGGAGGACGUUUGCACAUGGUGGCACUUCAAACUGUAUGCAUGUCAGUUUUUCUCUUCUCAUCUUCCAUGCAAGGAGCUCAAAUUGGCACAUUUAACCUUCUGAUGAGCUCGCCUUGCAGCAGGUUCAAUUCGCUCCUUCACUAUUAUUAUCAAGUACAGUAUACUGGAGCAUAUCAACUUCUUAAAUUUAUGUUGCAGCCUAGAAUAUAUCAACAUCAAAAAUAUAUCAGCCAGUUUCUGUACGGGAGAGAUAGGUGGUUCUGGAGGUCGAGCAGGGAGGAGGGAGCUAGAGAAGCGGUGCAGCGACGGAGUUGGAGGAUCAGGGAGGGGCUAUGUUGGCCCGGCUCUGUCCCUCACGAAGAUGAGCACAUCUCCUUCCUCACGGGAGAGAUAUGCAUUUCAUUUCAAGUAUUAUGGACAAUGAUUCUUUCUGUCCUGGCAAAACCUCUGAUUCACCCAAUGUUGGUAAGAUAAACUAUGUCUCCACCUUUGCUAACUUUGUUUCUUGAUCAUAUUAAAUGGAAAUUGUGUUUCUUAGAAAAAAAAACUCAAACACAGUUUUACAAAAGUUAGGUAGAAAUUAGGUGUUCUUAUUAUGCGGAAAAGUACUAUUUUUCUCUGCUAUGUAAUGGAGCUUUCUGAUUACAUGAUUCGUUUUGUGCUUCAAAAUUUUCAUUUAUUUACAGUGUUUCGUUUAAUAUAUUACAUGGGAUUUAUGUCAUUUCAUCCAUAUUGCUAUUGUGUGUUGCUUUAGUGCCACCCUUGGCAUAAUGAUUUGGUAGGACUAAGCAUGGGAUUUCCCUUGAGGAAUGCCCAAAAUAAAUUUAAUGAUAUUAAAAUUGCUUUUUUCUACAAAUAUGUGAUCAUUGGCAACUACGGCAACGCCUUGAGUCGAUAGUCGACGCCAACAGUGAAACACAAGCAAUUCGUGAUGUAGUUAACCUUAAUGCAAGGCAUAUUUGCUAAAUUGAGGACAACAUUAGUGCCCUAUUCUUCUCCAAGAUAAACAUACAGUAUGGAGUCCAAGGCAAUCACUCACCAUGCUUACUUUGUGUAUGUAAACUUUAUGAAUUGCACAAGAGGUUCUAGGCGAACAAAUGCUUAUUGUAGGAUUGGAGUCUACCUUAGGAUCAGUUUAUCCUAUGGGCCUAUACUACAGUGUUUAUCUGGCGACGGGGAGCUACUGCUGCCGGAGCAAAAGACGUGUCUUCCCCGAGCUGAAGCCGCCAGCCACCGCGCCUGCUUGCUGCUGCUGCCGAGAAAAAUCGCAGGCUUCUUCAGUUAAACAAGAACUGAUGCAGAAAUUAUAGAACCCUAUGUGAAGAAAAUUAUGGAUGAGAAUCGUGGAUAGAAGUAUGGGUGUGGAGCCAUGGGGUGUUCAAAAGUUUUGCAUGCUCCUGAGUUUGUUCAAAAUCAACUAAAACUCAAGCACCCUGAUUUGGUCUCUGUGUUCACUUCUGGAUUUUUUGGUGAUAUCACCUGAUCAUGUAUGCUGUUCAGUUGUGCGGCUAUGCCCCUUUGUCUUUGAAUUCAGCUUUGUUGAUUGUUAU
This is a non-coding RNA of Lolium perenne, 4902 nucleotides long. Lineage: Eukaryota; Viridiplantae; Streptophyta; Magnoliopsida; Poales; Poaceae. The record is from RefSeq and is a predicted model, not a curated record.